Molecule: ribosomal RNA, 501 nt
Filed under: uncultured bacterium
Lineage: Bacteria
Description: partial 16S ribosomal RNA
Rfam family: Bacterial small subunit ribosomal RNA
Source: RNAcentral
AUUGAACGCUGGCGGCAGGCUUAACACAUGCAAGUCGAGCGGGGGAAGGUAGCUUGCUACCGGACCUAGCGGCGGACGGGUGAGUAAUGCUUAGGAAUCUGCCUAUUAGUGGGGGACAGCAUCUCGAAAGGGAUGCUAAUACCGCAUACGUCCUACGGGAGAAAGCAGGGGAUCUUCGGACCUUGCGCUAAUAGAUGAGCCUAAGUCGGAUUAGCUAGUUGGUGGGGUAAAGGCCUACCAAGGCGACGAUCUGUAGCGGGUCUGAGAGGAUGAUCCGCCACACUGGGACUGAGACACGGCCCAGACUCCGACGGGAGGCAGCAGUGGGGAAUAUUGGACAAUGGGGGGAACCCUGAUCUAGCCAUGCCGCGUGUGUGAAGAAGGCCUUAUGGUUGUAAAGCACUUUAAGCGAGGAGGAGGCUACUCUAGUUAAUACCUAGGGAUAGUGGACGUUACUCGCAGAAUAAGCACCGGCUAACUCUGUGCCAGCCGCCGCGGUAA